RNAcentral lists this transfer RNA (71 nucleotides) under Marmota monax (woodchuck). RNAcentral describes it as "tRNA.Ala". Lineage: Eukaryota; Metazoa; Chordata; Mammalia; Rodentia; Sciuridae. The record is from RNAcentral.
GGGGUUGUGGCUCCGUGGUAGAGUGCUUACCUAGCAUGGGUGAGGCACUGGGUUCAAUCCCCAGCACCACA